This is a non-coding RNA of Acanthosepion pharaonis, 114 nucleotides long. Lineage: Eukaryota; Metazoa; Mollusca; Cephalopoda; Sepiida; Sepiidae. The record is from the annotation of a GenBank genome assembly.
UUACGAUCAUAUAGCGUUGGAACGCCGGUUCCCGUACGAUCACCGAAGUUAAGCAACGUCGAGCCUGGUCAGUAUCUAGAUGGUUAACCGCGUAGGAAUAUCAGGUGUUGUAAG